Long non-coding RNA from Cyprinus carpio (common carp), 670 nucleotides. RefSeq lists it as uncharacterized. The transcript has 3 exons. NCBI's taxonomy places the organism in Eukaryota, Metazoa, Chordata, Actinopteri, Cypriniformes, Cyprinidae. The record is from RefSeq and is a predicted model, not a curated record.
UCAGUUCUCUAGAUGCUGGUAUUGGCAUUGAAAAAUGCAAAUUGGUCAAUCACUUUUUGUCACUUUGUUAAUACAUUUUCAGUGAAAAAAUGGAAAAAAAGUUUGUUUUUCCACAGUAAUUGCAGACACUCUGGAGGCAUUAUACUCUGGCUCUCCCUCUCAGAGCUUGUCUGAAGGUGAUCCUCUUCAGCUUGAGUGCCAGGUCUCCAGCCAGACUUUUCAACAUACUCAUCUGAUGGUCACCUGGUUUCUCCAUGGUGAAGAGGAUGAAAACCCCCGACCAAUCAUCACUCUGGACAGAGAUCUGACUGUAAAGCCAGGAGCUGGAUUUGAGGAUCGCUAUCGUGCUGGUCUUAUCAUCAUGGAUAAGGUGGAGGACACAACCUACAGACUGAAGAUGCCUCAAGUGCAGCAGUCAGACCAGGGGAAGUUCUUCUGCAAAGCCAUUGAGUGGAUCCAAGACCCAGACCAUUCCUAGACACAGAUUGCCCACAAAACCACCGCAGCAUGCGAUGUGGAGAUUAAACAAAUCGGCAGAGGAAGCCCUGCAGUCAUAAUAGUAACAGUGCUUUUCAUUAUUCUGCUUGCUGUGCUGGCAUUUUACCUCUACAGAUGUAAAAAACAACAGUUAGGGAUGUCUGGACUAAACAAUAUGGACCAUGAAAGUGGU